ACCGUUUGCCUUUGGUUCAGUGGUAGAAUGCUCGCCUGCCACGCGGGCGCCUCGGGUUCGAUUCCCGGCCGAUGGUU
RNAcentral lists this transfer RNA (77 nucleotides) under Cordylochernes scorpioides. RNAcentral's name for it is "tRNA-Gly". The stretch from base 13 to 68 matches the Rfam family "tRNA", at positions 8 to 63 of the family's 71-position model. From Rfam's summary of the family: Transfer RNA (tRNA) molecules are approximately 80 nucleotides in length. Their secondary structure includes four short double-helical elements and three loops (D, anti-codon, and T loops). Lineage: Eukaryota; Metazoa; Arthropoda; Arachnida; Pseudoscorpiones; Chernetidae. The record is from RNAcentral.